RNAcentral lists this long non-coding RNA (436 nucleotides) under Elaeis guineensis (African oil palm). RNAcentral describes it as "long non-coding RNA (EGUI_LNC023067)". Lineage: Eukaryota; Viridiplantae; Streptophyta; Magnoliopsida; Arecales; Arecaceae. The record is from RNAcentral.
GGCCGAUCCAUUUGACCCUCCAGGGGAAGGCGAGGCCCAAUCCGAAAGUGACUCCGAUGCAAUCAAUGUAGCAACCUAUGGUAACCCGACCAUGACCAACUUGUCCCCAGUCCCCACGGGGAUUGCGAUAAGUUAAGAGUAGGAGGCUCCAAUUGGGCACUCCUCGUCCUCUUGGAUGAGGACUCUCUGUCUGAGGAGCUCUUCUUCUUCUUCACCACUAACUUGAUGGAUAACAACAACAGCUUCAUUACUUUAGGACAGAAAAAAAAAAUUUUCUCCGAUGACUAUAAUGACGUAAGAGCAACUGGCAAUUAGACGAUAGAAAAUCUUACCGAAUAGAUGGUCUAUUUAUAUAAAUCACCGACGAUAUGGAUUUGGCCAUCACAUCGCCCAAUCAUGCCACUUGGCCAACCUUGAAAAUGACGGAUCUCGUGAC